UUUCGGCCAAAUGAUAGGAAUGCUUAGUGGCGGACUGGUGAGUAACGCGUGAGGAACCUGCCUUUCAGAGGGGGACAACAGUUGGAAACGACUGCUAAUACCGCAUGAUACGUAUUGGGGGCAUCCCUGAGACGUCAAAGAUUUAUCGCUGAAAGAUGGCCUCGCGUCUGAUUAGCUGGUUGGUGAGGUAACGGCCCACCAAGGCGACGAUCAGUAGCCGGACUGAGAGGUUGACCGGCCACAUUGGGACUGAGAUACGGCCCAGACUCC
RNAcentral lists this ribosomal RNA (270 nucleotides) under uncultured Oscillibacter sp. Its description in RNAcentral is "partial 16S ribosomal RNA". It matches the Rfam family "Bacterial small subunit ribosomal RNA", at positions 73 to 339 of the family's 1533-position model. Lineage: Bacteria; Bacillati; Bacillota; Clostridia; Eubacteriales; Oscillospiraceae. The record is from RNAcentral.